RNAcentral lists this ribosomal RNA (275 nucleotides) under uncultured bacterium. RNAcentral's name for it is "partial 16S ribosomal RNA". It matches the Rfam family "Bacterial small subunit ribosomal RNA", at positions 338 to 609 of the family's 1533-position model. The record is from RNAcentral.
CCUACGGGAGGCAGCAGUGAGGAAUAUUGGUCAAUGGGCGCGAGCCUGAACCAGCCAAGUCGCGUGAGGGAUGACGGCCCUACGGGUUGUAAACCUCUUUUGUCGGGGAGCAAAUUCCGUUACGUGUAACGGAGUCGAGAGUACCCGAAGAAUAAGCACCGGCUAACUACGUGCCAGCAGCCGCGGUAAUACGUAGGGUGCGAGCGUUAAUCGGAAUUACUGGGCGUAAAGGGUGUGCAGGCGGUUUUGCAAGAUGGAUGUGAAAGCCCCGGGCU